This 849-nucleotide long non-coding RNA is filed under the name Triticum aestivum (bread wheat). RNAcentral's name for it is "long non-coding RNA (TAES_LNC011548)". Lineage: Eukaryota; Viridiplantae; Streptophyta; Magnoliopsida; Poales; Poaceae. The record is from RNAcentral.
AUUCUCAGCGAAAAAACUGAUGCUCAUGUUGAAGUUGAACAGCGGAGGACACACAACAGUUUCAGUAGAUAAGGGUUUUACAGUAAGGCCACAACAGUAACAAUAGUGCAAUACCCACAUGCAUGAUAGUAAGCUAACUCUGGAGGAAUACGAAUCAGCAGCGGGUAACCAUAACUACGGGGAGCAAUCUGCAUUAUUAUUCAGACUACAUAUUUAGUAUUUGAUCUCCGAUGAGAAUGGCCCUGCAUGCGUUGGCACUUGGCAGGGACUCACAGUCACAGCCCUAGACAUUGGGCUUGUAGGCUGGCGUCGAUGGCGGCUCCUCGUAGUCGGCGGCGUCAGCGGCAGCCUGUACGCCAGCGGAGUCGGCUUCCGCGCCGUGGUCGAGGAAGGGAGAUGGCAUCGGGACCGGGGCGUAUGGGGGCGGCGUGGGCUCAGGAGGGGACGGAGUGUACGGCGGCGGCGUUGGCGUGGGCUCAGGCUCAGGAGGGGACGGUGGCGGCGUGGGUUCAGGCUCAGGAGGGAACGGAGUGUACGGGGGCGGCGUAGGUUCAGGCUCAGGAGGGGACGGAGUGUACGGGGGCGGCGUUGGCGUGGGAGGUGUAGGUGGGCGGGGGCGAGGGCGAGGGCGAGGGCGCGGCGGAUGCGGACGCGGCCUGGGAGGCUUCCUGCUGCUGUGGGACGUGGUGAGCGGCGUCGGGGCGGGGUCAUACCCGCCGCUGUCCGCCUGCUGGGUCUCCAAGGCCAGGCUCAGGAACAGCAGGGCCACCAGGAGAGCGGCUUUGCCACCCGCCAUUCUCUCACUCCCUCACGCACUGCAAACUUCUUGGCUCGAUCGGUGUGGUUCUG